RNAcentral lists this ribosomal RNA (315 nucleotides) under uncultured eukaryote. RNAcentral describes it as "partial 18S ribosomal RNA". It matches the Rfam family "Eukaryotic small subunit ribosomal RNA", at positions 1470 to 1796 of the family's 1831-position model. The record is from RNAcentral.
CCCUUAGACGUUCUAGGCCGCACGCGCGCUACACUGACCAGUGCAACAAGCAUCCGUCCUUGGCCGACAGGCCCGGGCAAUCUUUGAACGCUGGUCGUGAUGGGGAUAGACUUUUGCAAUUUUUGGUCUUCAACGAGGAAUUCCUAGUAAACGCAAGUCAUCAACUUGCAUUGAUUACGUCCCUGCCCUUUGUACACACCGCCCGUCGCACCUACCGAUUGAAUGGUCCGGUGAAGCCUCCGGAUUGGCGCGCACCUCGGUGCCGCCGAGAAGUUGGCUAAACCUUACCAUUUAGAGGAAGGUGAAGUCGUAACA